This is an RNA transcript of Leguminivora glycinivorella, 1539 nucleotides long. RefSeq lists it as uncharacterized. Lineage: Eukaryota; Metazoa; Arthropoda; Insecta; Lepidoptera; Tortricidae. The record is from RefSeq and is a predicted model, not a curated record. The transcript is spliced from 4 exons.
UUCGCGAUACGUCCGAGACUUUCUAACAAAAAGAUAAAAUAUUCACAAAUAACACCUAUUUGUAGAAAUCCUAAGCACGGCAAACGAUUAAAUUCCCUUUUUUGGGUCAAACUUGUAAUACUGGCAAUACUUUUGGUACACACUUUUGGUCUGCAUUUUGCUAACGUGUCACGACUCUAGUAUUGAUUCUACUUUGAUUUUACUCUUGUGUCAAAGUGACAGAAUGAGAUUGCAAUUCGAAUCAUCAUAUCAUUACAAAGAUAUGAAUUGCGUAAUUUUACACGAAUUUAAUCUCUCAUGGCCUGACAAUACGAACCAAGGCAUGCGUUCUCCUGAAUGGCACAGUAUAUAGACUUUUUUGUCGAUGGGUAUGGCCGCCAUGUUUGGUUUAUGACACUUAGACGGGGAUUUUGUCGUACCAAAGAGUAAAUUGCAAGUUUUUUUCGGCACAACUUGGUUCCUCUACUCGUCGCAAGAUGGCGUUGGCAUUAUUAAAAUAAACAAGAAUGACGUGCAUUUGCGUCGGUGUAGACCCAUCAUGAAAACGUAGAUAUGAUAAUUUUAUAUUUAAAAAAAAGCUAACGUGACAUAAAUUUGACAAAUGUCUAAAAGAAAUAUAGUAUCUUCUGUGUAAUAUCUUCUUCCGUGCACGUGUGAUUUAUUGUUUAGUCAAUUUAAAUAUCACUCUAAGUAAGAACUGUUAGACAAAACACUCGUAGCAUAAUUGUAUAUUUCAAUAUAUCACAGCCAUACAUUUUUAUAUUCUUUCAGGUGAUUCAGCUUACCCACAGAGGCAAACACUACUGAUGGAUGCACUGACUUUUGGAUGCACCUGUAGGAUCUCCAGAAGCUCGUUAUACCGCUUUACAAGUUCGAGCCCGCAACUGUAUAGAGCGGUGUUUUGGGCGACUAAAAAUCAGUUGGUAGUGUUUGUCGUCAAUGGAGAAACUGCACUACAAGCCAGCAGCGGCAGCUAAGAUCGUUAAAACGUGUUGUGUGCUUGACAAUAUAGCUAACAAAGCGAAUUGUGAACUGCCUCCGCUGAACCGACACGAAGAACAGGAGCAGCAGCAGGAGCAGAGAUUAGCGGCGGAGUUUGACGCCCGUCAGCAGAAUGCUGAUAUUUAUUUGGCAAUGGCUCCUGACAGGUGUUGGCUAAACAAAGAGCUGCAGCUGGGUCGCGCUGCUCGUCAAGCGCUUGUCCGGCAGUUAGCAAAUUAUUGAUUCUUCAUCGGACCAAGGCCGAUUUGUCCAGGACCAAUUUUUGGAUCUCCUGGGCUUCCUGGAACAAGGACUAGUGAUUGUUUCGAGGAGCUGUCAUGGUGUUGGCUCUUGAUAUUUUAUCGUGAAACGCAGAUUUAAUGAUGAAGGCGCGUCGGAACCCAAACGUCAAGAAUCGCCGACGUUCACAGAAGCAGCUACAAUGAGUGGAGAAUCUGAGAGCCAGGAAUGCGGAGCACCUUGCUACUACUAAAAUGGAGAACCCGGACCUGUUAGCGACAUGGAACUGACCAGGACCGUCGUGGGCUCCUCAUGUGC